RNAcentral lists this ribosomal RNA (465 nucleotides) under uncultured bacterium. RNAcentral's name for it is "partial 16S ribosomal RNA". It matches the Rfam family "Bacterial small subunit ribosomal RNA", at positions 28 to 507 of the family's 1533-position model. The record is from RNAcentral.
GACGAACGCUGGCGGCGUGCUUAACACAUGCAAGUCGUACGGCAAGGCCCUUUCGGGGGUACACGAGUGGCGAACGGGUGAGUAACACGUGAGUAACCUGCCCACAACUUUGGGAUAACGCUAGGAAACUGGUGCUAAUACUGGAUAUGUGCCCCUGCUGCAUGGUGGGGGUUGGAAAGCUCCGGCGGUUGUGGAUGGACUCGCGGCCUAUCAGCUUGUUGGUGGGGUAGUGGCCUACCAAGGCGGCGACGGGUAGCCGGCCUGAGAGGGUGACCGGCCACAUUGGGACUGAGAUACGGCCCAGACUCCUACGGGAGGCAGCAGUGGGGAAUAUUGCACAAUGGGCGCAAGCCUGAUGCAGCAACGCCGCGUGCGGGAUGACGGCCUUCGGGUUGGAAACCGCUUUCAGCAGGGACGAAGCUUUUUGUGACGGUACCUGCAGAAGAAGCACCGGCUAACUACGUG